This 4790-nucleotide long non-coding RNA is filed under the name Betta splendens (Siamese fighting fish). RNAcentral describes it as "lncRNA (ENSBSLG00000003408.1)". Lineage: Eukaryota; Metazoa; Chordata; Actinopteri; Anabantiformes; Osphronemidae. The record is from RNAcentral.
GAAAAAACAAGCUCCAUAAAAAAGAGGACAAUGUCACGAUCUGGGUUUUGUUUCUUGUUUCCUGUUUUAUUUUGUAAUACUUCCUGUUUAGUUGUCACGUCCUGGUUCUAGAUCCGCUUUUAUGUUGAAGGGACUUACUGCUACGUCACAUCACAGCUGUUCCCUGUCAGUACCGGUCCGCAUUAUCCACACCUGCACUUCAUCUGCUAUUAGUUCACCUGGUAUUUAAGCACCACCUCUAAGCCCAGCACCUUGCCAGAUUGUUUGCUCAUUCACCCGUGACAACUCUCCAGCGUUCAGCCUGUAAGUUUAUCGUGUACCAGUUGCUGUUUGCCGUCUUGACCGUGUCUUUUGCCUUGCCCUCGUCUGUACCGUUGCUUGAGUUUCUGGAUUGCCGUGUACCGACCUUUGCCUGUCUGACCACGAGAACCAUUAAACCUUUUUGUCACCGAGCCUUGUCUCCGCUGUGCGUGUGGGUCCGCUACCUUGAGUCUGUGACAGUACAAUCUGGCCACACUCGGACCCAGCCGGCGUCUUGCAUCGGUUUAAGGGCUGCAAGGGAUUUUGUUUUGUUUACUCGGACAACGCAGAGUCGCGAUGGUGUUUACCUGCUCGAGGCUGCCGGAGGACCUCCGCUGGUGCUUCGGGGAGCUCGCGAGGAAUUACGCGGAAGCCCCCAGUCUGAAGGCGCGGCUCCGCGUAAUAAAACAGGCGAUCGCUAUCCUGGAGGAGGAAUUUUGGUGGCUUGACUACCCGGGAGUGCAGACGCUUUUUGAGAAGCUCCAGGCAGUACGGGGGGAUUUGGCACGCGCUCUGCGCGCGGCGCCCGCCAGCGUCUCAUCAGCUGUUCCUGCUGCACCGGAAAGCGCUCCUGUCGCUGCUCCGUCGAGUCAAGCUCACGUUCCUGUCGUCACUCAGUCAAGUCAAGCUCACGUUCCUGUCAUCGCUCAGUCGAGUCAAGCUCACGUUCCUGUCGCUGCUCAGUCGAGUCAAACUCACUCCCCCGUUGCCGCUCAGGCAGAUCCAGCUCCCGUUCCAGACACCAGCUCACCGGUCCCAGUCCAUGCCCACGUUACCGCCAUAGUUCCCGAGUCCAAUUCCGCCCGUACCGUGGCCCCAGCCCCUGCUUCAGCCCUGGCAGUGGAGAAGCCCACAGCUAGCCGUCGGAGGCCCAGACGGCGUCGACGACAGCCGGUUUCCCCUGUCCAGGCUCCAGAAGACUCGAUCACGGAAAUCAGACUGCCUCCUUCGCCAGCAGAGGGCACUCUCGCCCCAGCAGACGACAUACCCACCUCCAUCGCAGGCAUCCCGGACAGCAUUCUCCAACGGAUCCGUGCCCAAUGCACCCCUCCAGUCCUGUUCCUGUUUGCACACUGGCUGAACUCCGCUGAGGCAGAGACCGACCCGGUAAGCAAGGAGCGUCACUUCCGUGAAGCCGCCCUGCUCAUCGCCCGGAAGCCUGCGCUGCGCGAGGCCCUGGGUUUCAUUGAACCCCCAUCAGAGCCUGCACCCGUUCCUGCAUCAGAGCCUGCACCCGUUCCUGCAUCAGAGCCUGCACCCGUUCCUGCAUCAGAGCCUGCACCCGUUCCUGCAUCAGAGCCUGCACCCGUUCCUGCAUCAGAGCCUGCACCCAUUCCUGCAUCAGAGCCUGCACCCGUUCCUGCAUCAGAGCCUGCACCCGUUCCUGCAUCAGAGCCUGCACCCGUUCCUGCAUCAGAGCCUGCACCCGUUCCUGCAUCAGAGCCGGCAUCACUGGCCCCAGCGUCUAAGUCUGCAUCACUGGCCCCAGCGUCUAAGUCUGCAUCACUGGCCCCAGCGUCUAAGUCUGCAUCACUGGCCCCAGCGUCUAAGUCUGCUCCAGCCCACGCCUCACCUCAGCCAUGCCAAGCUCCAGCCCACGCCUCACCUCAGCCAUGCCAAGCUCCAGCCCACGCCUCACCUCAGCCAUGCCAAGCUCCAGCCCACGCCUCACCUCAGCCAUGCCACGCUCCAGCCCACGCCUCACCUCAGCCAUGCCACGCUCCAGCCCACGCCUCACCUCAGCCAUGCCACGCUCCAGCCCAGCCUGCAGCAGCUCGAGCCUCGGCUGCGUCACGUCAGGUUCAAGCCUCGGCUCCAGCUCACGCUCAAGAUCAAGCUCCAGCUCAGUCACGUCAGGUUCAAGCCUCGGCUCCAGCUCAAGCUCAAGAUCAAGCUCCAUCUUUACGCCAGCUAGCGGACACUCCUGGCCAGUCACACCAGGCCCCAGCUCCUGUUCCUGUCGGCCAUAUUGAGGCCGCUCCCGUUCCUGUCGGCCAUAUUGAGGCCGCUCCCGUUCCUGUCGGCCAUAGUGAGGCCGUUCUAGUCCCAGUUCCUGUCGGCCAAGUAGAGGCCGUUCUAGUCCCAGUUCCUGUCGGCCAAGUAGAGGCCGUUCUAGUUCCUGUCGGCCAAGUAGAGGCCGUUCUAGUCCCAGUUCCUGUCGGCUCCUCAGGGGAGGACGCCGUUCUAGUUCCUGUCGGCCAAGUAGAGGCCGUUCUAGUCCCAGUUCCUGUCGGCUCCUCAGAGGAGGACGCCGUUCUAGUUCCUGUCGGCCAAGUAGAGGCCGUUCUAGUCCCAGUUCCUGUCGGCUCCCCUGAGGAGGACGCCGUUCUAGUUCCUGCCACUGUCGGUCCCUCGGAGGCCGCAGCCCCCGACGAUCCCCAGGAGGGGGUCGUCCCGGCCGCAGCGUCUGCCGCAGCGUCUGUUGCAGCUCCGGCCGACCUCCCGGAGGAGGUCGGUCCAGCUCCGUCUCCGGCCGACCUCCCGGAGGAGGUGGUCGGCCCGCUCCUGGUUCAUGUGUUUUUUGAGCCAAUGUGUGCAGGUGCAGCUCCUGGCGGUCCGGUCCCGGACACGCUCGCCUCAGCUCCUGGCGGUCCGGCCCCGGACACGUUCGUCUCUGCUCCUGGCGGUCCGGCCCGGCCACGUUCGUCUCUGCUCCUGGUGGUCCGGUCCCGGCCACGCUCGUCUCGGCUCCUGGAGGUCCGGUCCCGGUCUCGCUCGUCUCGACUUCUGGAGGUCCGGCCCUGGACACGUUCGUCUCGACUUCUGGAGGUCCGGCCCCGGACACGUUCGCCUCAGCUCCUGGUGGUCCGGCCCCGGACACGUUCGCCUCAGCUCCUGGUGGUCCGGUCCCGGACACGUUCGCCUCAGCUCCUGGUGGUCCGGUCCCGGACACGUUCGCCUCAGCUCCUGGUGGUCCGGUCCCGGACACGUUCGCCUCAGCUCCUGGUGGUCCGGUCCCGGACACGUUCGCCUCUGCUCAUGGUGGUCCGGUCCCGGACACGUUCGCCUCUGCUCAUGGUGGUCCGGUCCCGGACACGUUCGCCUCUGCUCAUGGUGGUCCGGUCCCGGACACGUCUGUCUCCAGUCCUGGAGGCCCGGUGCUGGCCGCGUCUGCAUCGGUUCCUGGUGGCCUGGUUCCGGCCUCGUCUCCACGUCUGUCUUCGUCUCUGGUUCCUGCCUCGUCUCCACGUCUGUCUUCGCCUCUGGUUCCUGCCUCGUCUCCACGUCUGUCUUCGCCUCUGGUUCCUGCCUCGUCUCCACGUCUGUCUUCGCCUCUGGUUCCUGCCUCGUCUUUGUCUCGGCUGCCAGACUGGUGGCCUCGCCCUCGGCGCCCCCUGCUGCCUGGAUGGCGCUGCCUCCUGCGGCGCCGUCCGCCUCGACCCCUCAGUCUUCAGGAUCGGCGUCCGCCUGGAGGACAUCGCCGUUCGGGGUGGUCCCCGUGGACGCUGGCCCAGCUCAAGGGCACUAGGCGUGCCACCCUGCCUCAGCGGUGGCUGAGUAGGAUCUCGCCGCGUCUCCACCCGCCGUGAGGGGAUUCCUGGACUCUGAGUUUCCCUGGACGUGGACUUUGUUCUUGUCUCAUGGACAUUCAUGUUUUCUUGAUUAUGGGACUCGGUCUUGUUUUGUUUUUCGGGGGGGUCCUCUGGUCUGUCGUGUUCGGGCGUGUGUUUUGUGUUGUUGGGGGUUUCCGUUUUUGCCCUCCCCCAGUCCGCCCUCCGCCCGCCCUGUCGGUGUUCCAUGCGGGUUGUUUUUGGUUCUUGCCCUCCGCCGGUCCUCCCUCCGCCCGCCCUGCUUGGGUUUUGUUUUUUUUCUUUGGUCGUCUGGAAUCCGCCCUUGGGAGGGGGGUACUGUCACGAUCUGGGUUUUGUUUCUUGUUUCCUGUUUUAUUUUGUAAUACUUCCUGUUUAGUUGUCACGUCCUGGUUCUAGAUCCGCUUUUAUGUUGAAGGGACUUACUGCUACGUCACAUCACAGCUGUUCCCUGUCAGUACCGGUCCGCAUUAUCCACACCUGCACUUCAUCUGCUAUUAGUUCACCUGGUAUUUAAGCACCACCUCUAAGCCCAGCACCUUGCCAGAUUGUUUGCUCAUUCACCCGUGACAACUCUCCAGCGUUCAGCCUGUAAGUUUAUCGUGUACCAGUUGCUGUUUGCCGUCUUGACCGUGUCUUUUGCCUUGCCCUCGUCUGUACCGUUGCUUGAGUUUCUGGAUUGCCGUGUACCGACCUUUGCCUGUCUGACCACGAGAACCAUUAAACCUUUUUGUCACCGAGCCUUGUCUCCGCUGUGCGUGUGGGUCCGCUACCUUGAGUCUGUGACAGACAACAGAGAUUAAGGGUCAUUGAUGUAGCUGCACAGACAAUUGUGUUUUCAUGAAAGUUAGUUGCUGGUGUCUUGCGAGGACUCCUGAGACAGUGCACUAAUUACUGUAGCACUAAACUGUUCUACCAACACAGCAUCACUGACCUCACAAAGACCCCUUAACACACAGG